Molecule: ribosomal RNA, 305 nt
Filed under: uncultured bacterium
Lineage: Bacteria
Description: bacterial SSU rRNA
Rfam family: Bacterial small subunit ribosomal RNA
Source: RNAcentral
CCUACGGGAGGCAGCAGUAGGGAAUUUUGCGCAAUGGGCGAAAGCCUGACGCAGCAACGCCGCGUGAUUGAUUAAGCCCUUCGGGGUGUAAAGAUCUGUCAGUGGGGACGAAACUUGACGGUACCCACAGAGGAAGCACCGGCUAACUCCGUGCCAGCAGCCGCGGUAAUACGGAGGGUGCAAGCGUUGUCCGGAAUCAUUGGGCGUAAAGAGUUCGUAGGUGGCAUAUUAAGUCUGGUGUUAAAUGCAGAAGCUCAACUUCUGUUCGGCACUGGAUACUGGUAAGCUUGAAUGCGGUAGAGGUA